RNAcentral lists this ribosomal RNA (439 nucleotides) under Vacrothele palpator. RNAcentral describes it as "partial 16S ribosomal RNA". It matches the Rfam family "Bacterial large subunit ribosomal RNA", at positions 1825 to 2602 of the family's 2925-position model. Lineage: Eukaryota; Metazoa; Arthropoda; Arachnida; Araneae; Macrothelidae. The record is from RNAcentral.
AACAUUUCUAAAUGUAAAUUAUAUUUAGUAAGGCCUGCUCACUGCUUUAUUAUUAAAUAGCCGCGGUCACCCGUGCUAAGGUAGCAUAAUCAUUUGCCUCUUAAUUAGAGGCUAGAAUGAAAGACUCAACACGCCUAUUCUUUUAUUAUUUUGUUUCCUUAAACUUCUCUUGUAAGUAAAAAGCCUUACAUAAAAAGGGGGACGACAAGACCCUAUCGAACUUUACUAAAUGUUUAGCUGGGGCGGCUAAAAACCAAUUCUUUUUCCUUAUUUUCUACCCAACCUUUAAAAGAUUACUAAGUUACCGUAGGGAUAACAGCAUAAUUUAUUCUCAAAGACCUUAUUUAAGAAUAAGAUUGUGACCUCGAUGUUGAAUUAAUAUUCUUUUAGGGGCAAGAUUCUAAAAAGAAAGUCUGUUCGACUUUUAAAUAAUUACGUG